CCUGGCGAACUGAAACAUCUUAGUAGCCAGAGGAAAAGAAAGCAAAAGCGAUUCCCGUAGUAGCGGUGAGCGAAAUGGGAGCAGUCUAAACCGUGAAAACGGGGUUGUGGGAGAGCAAUACAAGCGUUGUGCUGCUAGGCGAAGCGGUUGAGUGCCGCACCCUAGAUGGCUAAAGUCCAGUAGCUGAAAGCAUCACUAGCUUAUGCUCUGACCCGAGUAGCAUGGGGCACGUGGAAUCCCGUGUGAAUCAGCAAGGACCACCUUGCAAGGCUAAAUACUCCUGGGUGACCGAUAGCAAAGUAGUACCGUGAGGGAAAGGUGAAAAGAACCCCCAGUGGGUAGUGAAAUAGAACGUGAAACCGUGCUGAGCUCCCAAGCAGUGGGAGGGGAAAGUGAUCUCUGACCGCGUGCCUGUUGAAGAAUGAGUCGGCGACUCAUAGGCAGUGGCUUGGUUAAGGGAACGGAACCCACCGGAGCCGUAGCAUGCCGAUUUUCAAGAACGCGAAUCUUAUGAUAUGGUGGGAAUCUCUUAUGAUAAUCAUCCGCGCCUUAAACAAUCGCGGUAAAGUAUUCUAAUUCAAUACAAAUUUCGCGGGCGAAUAUUUACUCUUUCCUGUCUUAUUUGUUAAUUUAUAAACUUACUGGUAGAGCAACUCGUUUACACGUGCGCCAAUGCUUUUCAAAUGAGCUUAUUAUGCAAUGAACAUAAUCGAUCUUAUUGCAAAAUCAAAUUGAAGUCAUAGUGUCAUCGUUGGCUGGAAUCGAUAUAUUCGCGAGGAUUCGUUUUUUUUGUGUCACAGCUGAUUACUCCUUUUUUCCGGAAUUCUAUAGGGAUCUAUGAGAUCGAGUAUGGAAUUCUGUUUACUCACUUUAAAUUGAGUAUCCGUUUCCCUCCUUUUCCCGGCAUAACCACGAGUUCCAGUGCACUAGAUCUUGUAGCACUUAGCAACAAAGUGACAUCUCUCUUUCAAGGAGGCAGCGGGGAUUCGACUUCCCCUGGGGGUAGGGUCAAAAUAAAAUCUUUUUAAUUAGUUCUCCUUUUUUGGAAUUUUCUUAUUUGAGGCGGGCCUUGGAAAGUUUUUGAAUAAGUAGGGGGAAUUCAUAGAUCCUCCAAACGUAGAGCACGUAGGGCUUUGAAACCAAAUACGUUACCUACAAUGGAAGUAAACAUGUUAGUAACGGAACCCUCUUCAAAUAGGU
This 1200-nucleotide ribosomal RNA is filed under the name Triticum aestivum (bread wheat). RNAcentral's name for it is "rRNA LSU_rRNA_eukarya". The stretch from base 1 to 365 matches the Rfam family "Bacterial large subunit ribosomal RNA", at positions 184 to 561 of the family's 2925-position model. The record is from RNAcentral. Lineage: Eukaryota; Viridiplantae; Streptophyta; Magnoliopsida; Poales; Poaceae.